ACAGCAGCAGCCACGGUAAUACAGAGGGUGCGAGCGUUAAUCGGAUUUACUGGGCGUAAAGCGUGCGUAGGCGGCUUCUUAAGUCGGAUGUGAAAUCCCUGAGCUUAACUUAGGAAUUGCAUUCGAUACUGGGAAGCUAGAGUAUGGGAGAGGAUGGUAGAAUUCCAGGUGUAGCGGUGAAAUGCGUAGAGAUCUGGAGGAAUACCGAUGGCGAAGGCAGCCAUCUGGCCUAAUACUGACGCUGAGGUACGAAAGCAUGGGGAGCAAACAGGAUUAGAGACCCCGGUAGUCCCUGUCUCUUACAC
This 305-nucleotide ribosomal RNA is filed under the name uncultured bacterium. Its description in RNAcentral is "partial 16S ribosomal RNA". It matches the Rfam family "Bacterial small subunit ribosomal RNA", at positions 506 to 809 of the family's 1533-position model. The record is from RNAcentral.